GACGAACGCUGGCGGCGUGCUUAACACAUGCAAGUCGAACGGAAAGGCCCUGCUUGCAGGGUGCUCGAGUGGCGAACGGGUGAGUAACACGUGGGUGAUCUGCCCCUUACUUUGGGAUAAGCCUGGGAAACUGGGUCUAAUACUGGAUAGGACCAUGCUGUAGGUGGUGUGGUGGAAAGAUUAGUUUCGGUAAGGGAUGAGCUCGCGGCCUAUCAGCUUGUUGGUGGGGUAAUGGCCUACCAAGGCGUCGACGGGUAGCCGGCCGGAGAGGGUGGACGGCCACAUUGGGACUGGGAUACGGCCCAGACUCCUACGGGAGGCAGCAGUGGGGAAUAUUGCACAAUGGGCGCAAGCCUGAUGCAGCGACGCCGCGUGGGGGAUGACGGCCUUCGGGUUGUAAACUCCUUUCAGCCAUGACGAAGCCCUUGUGGUGACGGUAGUGGUAGAAGAAGCACCGGCUAACUACGUG
This 469-nucleotide ribosomal RNA is filed under the name uncultured bacterium. RNAcentral's name for it is "partial 16S ribosomal RNA". It matches the Rfam family "Bacterial small subunit ribosomal RNA", at positions 28 to 507 of the family's 1533-position model. The record is from RNAcentral.